Puntigrus tetrazona (Sumatra barb) is the source of this 1762-nucleotide long non-coding RNA. RefSeq lists it as uncharacterized. The transcript has 3 exons. Lineage: Eukaryota; Metazoa; Chordata; Actinopteri; Cypriniformes; Cyprinidae. The record is from RefSeq and is a predicted model, not a curated record.
CACGUUGAGAUUAAAAAGCCCCACGACCGCCUCAUCGUUGAGCGCUGACCCUCGAUCCAGCGGGACACUUCACAGAAAAAGACACCACAGAUAUAAAAAUGAAUACAAUUUGGGUGCUGUGUUUUGCAGUGCUGAUCAUCACCAUACCAUUUUCAACUCAGAAUAGCGAUGCUCCGAAGUCCUCGUCUGGAGGCAGCUCAUCCUCCUCUAGUUCGUCCACGAAUUCCAGCGCUGUAGGACUGGGUCCCGUGACCACCACACUGUACCUGCUGAUCCCGGCGGCGACCCUGGGCUUUAUACACAGCAUCCUAAACUGAUGGACGGAGGGCGUUUGCCAUAGAUGACCAAGAUAUAGACAGUGGCGAAAUGGACAGCCAUUCACCCAGAGAGCGAUCUUUCUUUUUCACGAAUCUGGAAGUCAGAAGAUGCCACGGCUCAUUUUUAUUUGUAACGGAUUUUAAGUAAUACAAAUUAAAAAUAAAGUUUGGGGAAUUUCUCCAAGAGGGAUUUGUUUGGUUACAUCUGUUUUAGGGAGCUUGAAAGACACCUGCAACUCGGGGUCCUGCUACAGAACUACACCACUGGGCUCUUUGUCGUGUUUUGCACCAAAGUCACUGUUUUCACCUACUCGAUGGCAAAUUUUAUUGGUACAGUUUGAUUCUCCAAUGCUCAUUAUAUGAUUAAGCAGUUAAAAGAGAUUAAGCAGUUAAAAAAAAAACUCGAUUACUCAAAUCAGAAAUAAUGUACAUUUAAAUUUCAGCAAAAUUUCCAUUUGUAUAAUGACUUUAUGUGUCUGUGUCAGUGUACAUCCAUGUGUCUGUAUGCACAAUUAAAAUAGAUGAUCAAAUAUGUUUUUUUAUGUCAUUUUUUCUUUCAAAUCGGUAUUAAUGUUUUCUUGUUUAAAAUAUGCAAUCAAGAGUUUAAUCCUCAUGUGUUUUAUUAAAGAAUUUGAUGAGUACAGCCAACAAACAAACAACAACAAAGCAAUACAAUAUAGUUUUAGUAAGGUAAUAGUGCGUCCUAGACUGAAAUGCAUUGAGAAUUUAGUCCAGCCUAUGUGUUAUUUUAAAAACAGGUUUAGGAGAUGAAGGCACUUUACUGAGAGGAUGAUGUGAUGCUCUUCUUAAACCAAUGAGCAGUCAUUUAAACACGUCACACACCGAUCUCGGUGAGAAUAAAACCCCUCCUGUCACGCAUUACUGAACACAGACUCUUCCUCACAGACAGCAUCUCUGAAAAAAAAGAAGAAAAAGGCAUAAUCAUGAAUAAAAUACUGGUAUUGUGCAUCGGGUUACUGCUUAUAACCUUACCUUUUUCCUCUCAGGAGGAACCAAAGGAGAAGACAACUAAGUCUCCUAAGACUCCUGCUACCAGCGCUGCAGGACUGGCUCCUCUGCACUCCACUCUGUGCUUUCUGAUUCCAGCUGCCACCCUGGGCUUCCUCAACUGGCUGGGGAAUGUUUAGAUGACCAAAAGGAGAAAAAAUUUUUUGAAGAUAGAACACACAACUCAGCAAGAGGAUGCCACAACAACUCACCUAUUUUAAAAUUAAGAACAAUUUGUGUAAUGUGCCGAGGGUCCUCCUCGUUGUGUUUUAACCCCGCGUUAAAUUUCAUUCAUCAGUCGCAACAUCUUGUGAAACACCGUAUGAAUCUAAUCAUUGUUAUCCACAUUCUCCAAAAUAUUUUUGUCCUAACUUGAAGUAGUAAUUGCAUUGAUUAGGAAUUUGUCUGUAUGCACAAUUAAAGUAGAUGAUUGUAUA